Molecule: ribosomal RNA, 519 nt
Filed under: uncultured Vibrio sp.
Lineage: Bacteria; Pseudomonadati; Pseudomonadota; Gammaproteobacteria; Vibrionales; Vibrionaceae
Description: bacterial SSU rRNA
Rfam family: Bacterial small subunit ribosomal RNA
Source: RNAcentral
AUGCAAGUCGAGCGGAAACGACAACAUUGAAUCUUCGGAGGAUUUGUUGGGCGUCGAGCGGCGGACGGGUGAGUAAUGCCUAGGAAAUUGCCUUGAUGUGGGGGAUAACCAUUGGAAACGAUGGCUAAUACCGCAUAAUGCCUACGGGCCAAAGAGGGGGAUCUUCGGACCUCUCGCGUCAAGAUAUGCCUAGGUGGGAUUAGCUAGUUGGUGAGGUAAUGGCUCACCAAGGCGACGAUCCCUAGCUGGUCUGAGAGGAUGAUCAGCCACACUGGAACUGAGACACGGUCCAGACUCCUACGGGAGGCAGCAGUGGGGAAUAUUGCACAAUGGGCGAAAGCCUGAUGCAGCCAUGCCGCGUGUAUGAAGAAGGCCUUCGGGUUGUAAAGUACUUUCAGUUGUGAGGAAGGGGGUAACGUUAAUAGCGUUAUCUCUUGACGUUAGCAACAGAAGAAGCACCGGCUAACUCCGUGCCAGCAGCCGCGGUAAUACGGAGGGUGCGAGCGUUAAUCGGAAUUA